CCUACGGGUGGCAGCAGUGAGGAAUAUUGGUCAAUGGACGAGAGUCUGAACCAGCCAAGUAGCGUGAAGGAUGACUGCCCUAUGGGUUGUAAACUUCUUUUAUAUGGGAAUAAAAUGUUCCACGUGUGGGAUUUUGUAUGUACCAUAUGACUAAGGAUCGGCUAACUCCGUGCCAGCAGCCGCGGUAAUACGGAGGAUCCGAGCGUUAUCCGGAUUUAUUGGGUGUAAAGGGAGCGUAGGUGGAUGGUUAAGUCAGUUGUGAAAGUUUGCGGCUCAACCGUAAAAUUGCAGUUGAAACUGGCAGUCUUGAGUACAGUAGAGGUGUGCGGAAUUCGUGGUGUAGCGGUGAAAUGCUUAGAUAUCACGAAGAACUCCGAUUGCGAAGGCAGUUCACUGGACUGCAACUGACACUGAGGCUCGAAAGUGUGGGUAUCAAACAGGAUUAGAUACCCGGGUAGUC
RNAcentral lists this ribosomal RNA (460 nucleotides) under uncultured bacterium. RNAcentral describes it as "partial 16S ribosomal RNA". It matches the Rfam family "Bacterial small subunit ribosomal RNA", at positions 338 to 795 of the family's 1533-position model. The record is from RNAcentral.